CUUUAUGUUGAAUAUGUAUUUGUUGCCACGAAUGAUGAUAUUGAAUUCAACAAGCACGAACUUUGAUUUGAACUCAUACUCCUUGAACCUUGAUUUGUUCUUCAUUCUUGAGCUUGAACUUGAUUUCUUGAACUUGAACUUGAAGCUUGAAACUUGUGGAAGAAUUUGCAGCAUUUGAUCCACGGGCUCUUUUUUGCUUCUUGU
Molecule: long non-coding RNA, 204 nt
Filed under: Nicotiana benthamiana
Lineage: Eukaryota; Viridiplantae; Streptophyta; Magnoliopsida; Solanales; Solanaceae
Description: long non-coding RNA (NBEN_LNC015832)
Source: RNAcentral